ACACAUAGCAUACAUUUACACAUAGAUCUACACAUUUACUUGUAUUCUCCCCCAUAAAAACUCAUAAAAACCGAAAAGAAAGGGGUAUGAAGCUCACCUUGAGUUGUGGAUCGGUUUUGAAGAGGAAAAGAGAAGAGUUUGUUGUUAUUUUCGGCCCUAGCAACCUUUCUUGGAAGAUCUCGAAUUUAAAGAGCUUCUAAGGUGCAAGAUCACAAGAUUGAAUGGAUUUAGAAGAGAUUUUGAUGAAAUGAAGGGAGUUAGAUCAUAAGUUAGCCAUUAACUUACCUUAGAUGAUGAAUUACUUGAUGAAGAUCCUUAGACUUCAAGCCAAAUUUUCGAGAUUUUGGAUGAAGAAGAGUGGAUGAUUCUUGAGUGAUUU
RNAcentral lists this long non-coding RNA (379 nucleotides) under Lactuca sativa (garden lettuce). RNAcentral describes it as "long non-coding RNA (LSAT_LNC002700)". The record is from RNAcentral. Lineage: Eukaryota; Viridiplantae; Streptophyta; Magnoliopsida; Asterales; Asteraceae.